GCUGGCGGCGUGCUUUACACAUGCAAGUCGAGCGAGGCGGGUAGCAAUACCCAGUCGAGCGGCGAACGGGUGAGUAACGCGUGGAUUAUCUGCCCUGAGGUGGGGGAUAACCCGGGGAAACUCGGGCUAAUACCGCAUAUGACCGUGAGGUCAAAGGGGGGUCGCAAGAUCUCUCGCCAUAGGAGGAGUCCGCGUCCGAUUAGCUAGUUGGUAGGGUAAUGGCCUACCAAGGCGACGAUCGGUAGCCGGCCUGAGAGGGUGAUCGGCCACACUGGAACUGAGACACGGUCCAGACUCCUACGGGAGGCAGCAGUGGGGAAUUUUGCGCAAUGGGCGAAAGCCUGACGCAGCAACGCCGCGUGGAGGAUGAAGGUCCUUGGAUUGUAAACUCCUGUCAGCAGGGAAAAAGCGACUUA
This 416-nucleotide ribosomal RNA is filed under the name uncultured soil bacterium. RNAcentral describes it as "bacterial SSU rRNA". It matches the Rfam family "Bacterial small subunit ribosomal RNA", at positions 35 to 457 of the family's 1533-position model. The record is from RNAcentral.